Molecule: ribosomal RNA, 253 nt
Filed under: uncultured bacterium
Lineage: Bacteria
Description: partial 16S ribosomal RNA
Rfam family: Bacterial small subunit ribosomal RNA
Source: RNAcentral
UACAGAGGGGGCAAGCGUUGUUCGGAAUUACUGGGCGUAAAGGGCGCGUAGGCGGCCUGUUAAGUCGAACGUGAAAUCCCCGGGCUCAGCCCGGGAACUGCGUCCGAUACUGGCAGGCUUGAAUCCGGGAGAGGGAUGCGGAAUUCCAGGUGUAGCGGUGAAAUGCGUAGAUAUCUGGAGGAACACCGGUGGCGAAGGCGGCAUCCUGGACCGGCAUUGACGCUGAGGCGCGAACGCCAGGGGAGCAAACGGG